Molecule: ribosomal RNA, 460 nt
Filed under: uncultured bacterium
Lineage: Bacteria
Description: partial 16S ribosomal RNA
Rfam family: Bacterial small subunit ribosomal RNA
Source: RNAcentral
CCUACGGGCGGCAGCAGUGAGGAAUAUUGGUCAAUGGACGGAAGUCUGAACCAGCCAUGCCGCGUGCAGGAAGACGGCUCUAUGAGUUGUAAACUGCUUUUGUACAAGGGUAAACCUGAAUACGUGUAUUCAGCUGAAAGUACUGUACGAAUAAGGAUCGGCUAACUCCGUGCCAGCAGCCGCGGUAAUACGGAGGAUCCAAGCGUUAUCCGGAUUUAUUGGGUUUAAAGGGUGCGUAGGCGGAUUGAUAAGUUAGAGGUGAAAUGUUGGAGAGUAACUCGGGAACUGCCUCUAAUACUGUUGAUCUAGAGAGUAGAAGCGAUAGGAGGAAUGUAAGGUGUAGCGGUGAAAUGCUUAGAGCUCAUACAGAACACCGAUUGCGGAGGUAGAUGACCAAUCUAUAUAUGAAGUUGAGGCACGAAAGCGUGGGGAGCAAAAAGGAUUAGAUACACCUGGAGUC